Populus nigra (black poplar) is the source of this 609-nucleotide long non-coding RNA. RefSeq lists it as uncharacterized. The record is from RefSeq and is a predicted model, not a curated record. Lineage: Eukaryota; Viridiplantae; Streptophyta; Magnoliopsida; Malpighiales; Salicaceae. The transcript has 2 exons.
CCCCUCUUUUCACUGAUCACUAUCAGAAAGUAUUUGUGUUGUCUGCUAAUCACUUGCCUCAUACCUACCAUAUCCAUGUUCUUGGAUUGAGUUGCAUAAAUAAUACGAAUUUUGUAAUCUUGAUUUCACAAAUUUUAUAGUCUAGAACUCUUGUUUUGACAGAUAGCGACGAUUUGAUGAUAUUUUGAUGAAACAGUAUUCUUAACUAAAAUGCUUAAAUUUAGAUUCAAAUUCCUCAUCGCUUUUAGAAAAUAAAGUUAAUUGGUGUGGAUUUACAUCGAUGCAUGCUUUAGACUUCACAGAGAAAGAAGUGAACUGGGUGAUGGAAGCAAGCGCAAUAGCUGUUGGUCCUGGACCGCAUCGCCUAGGUGUUGAAACUGCAACAAUGGCACUUUUGGCAAAUCUAAUGCUGUGGUCCGACACCCAGUAGCAUCGAGUUCUUAAUUACAUUUGCAAGGAGAGUUGAGCCCAAUUAGUCUGGAUGGAGGCAAGAAUGCUACUAGAGUUCUGGCUUCCUGUAGCGAGCAAUUUUUUCUUCUUCUACUCGUGUUUUUGUUUGUUCAGUAUUGUUUUAGAAUAAUAUAAAUUAUAUCUUAGAAUUUUAUCUAA